RNAcentral lists this ribosomal RNA (240 nucleotides) under Acidobacteriota bacterium. Its description in RNAcentral is "Acidobacteria bacterium (rhizosphere metagenome) partial 16S ribosomal RNA". It matches the Rfam family "Bacterial small subunit ribosomal RNA", at positions 1 to 239 of the family's 1533-position model. The record is from RNAcentral. Lineage: Bacteria; Pseudomonadati; Acidobacteriota.
UCAAACGAGAGUUUGAUCCUGGCUCAGAAUCAACGCUGGCGGCGUGCCUAACACAUGCAAGUCGCACGAGAAAGUGGAGCAAUCCAUGAGUACAGUGGCGUACGGGUGAGUAACACGUGACUAACCUGCCCUCGAGUGGGGAAUAACUUCGGGAAACCGAGGCUAAUACCGCAUAACAUCUUCCGGGUGAGAUACCGGUUGAUCAAAGCAGCAAUGGGCUUGAGGAGGGGGUCGCGGCUG